This 343-nucleotide small nuclear RNA is filed under the name Erinaceus europaeus (western European hedgehog). Its description in RNAcentral is "7SK RNA". The stretch from base 1 to 250 matches the Rfam family "7SK RNA". From Rfam's summary of the family: 7SK was discovered as an abundant small nuclear RNA in the mid-70s but a possible function has only recently been suggested. Two independent studies have found that 7SK RNA binds the CDK9/cyclin T complex (known as elongation factor P-TEFb). Lineage: Eukaryota; Metazoa; Chordata; Mammalia; Eulipotyphla; Erinaceidae. The record is from Rfam by way of RNAcentral.
GGAUGUGAGGGCGAUCUGUCACCCCAUUGAUCGCCAGGGUUGACUUGGCUGAUCUAGCUGGCUAGGUGGGUGUCCCCUUCCUCCCUCACUGCUCCAUGUGCAUCCCUCCCGAUUCUGAAGAUGUACUCAAUAAAAUUAAAUAAGACAUUUAUUUCUUAUGUAAACCCUUUGGAACACUACAAAUAAGAGGACAUUUCCUUAACCUGAUAAAGUUAAGUUGGCUCUGAAAUCUAGAGCCAACACCAUUCUUCAUGGUGAGAGAGGAGAGGCAGUUCCAUUUAAACCAAAGACAAGAGAUGAAUUCUUACUAUCCACUGUUAUUUAGCAUUGUCUGAAAGUUUGG